RNAcentral lists this ribosomal RNA (493 nucleotides) under Fusarium solani. RNAcentral describes it as "eukaryotic LSU rRNA". It matches the Rfam family "Eukaryotic large subunit ribosomal RNA", at positions 80 to 584 of the family's 3401-position model. Lineage: Eukaryota; Fungi; Ascomycota; Sordariomycetes; Hypocreales; Nectriaceae. The record is from RNAcentral.
CCAGUAACGGCGAGUGAAGCGGCAACAGCUCAAAUUUGAAAUCUGGCUCUCGGGCCCGAGUUGUAAUUUGUAGAGGAUGCUUUUGGUGAGGUGCCUUCCGAGUUCCCUGGAACGGGACGCCAUAGAGGGUGAGAGCCCCGUCUGGUUGGACGCCGAACCUCUGUAAAGCUCCUUCGACGAGUCGAGUAGUUUGGGAAUGCUGCUCUAAAUGGGAGGUAUAUGUCUUCUAAAGCUAAAUACCGGCCAGAGACCGAUAGCGCACAAGUAGAGUGAUCGAAAGAUGAAAAGAACUUUGAAAAGAGAGUUAAAAAGUACGUGAAAUUGUUGAAAGGGAAGCGCUUGUGACCAGACUUGGGCUUGGUUGAUCAUCCGGGGUUCUCCCCGGUGCACUCUUCCGGCCCAGGCCAGCAUCAGUUCGCCCUGGGGGACAAAGGCUUCGGGAACGUGGCUCUCUCCGGGGAGUGUUAUAGCCCGUUGCGUAAUACCCUGUGGC